GACGAACCGUGCGACCGUUAUUCGGAAUCACUGGGCUUAAAGGGCGCGUAGGCGGGCCGCCCAGUCAGUGGUGAAAUCCUCCGGCCCAACCGGAGAAGUGCCUUUGAUACUGGCGGCCUCGAGGGAGGUAGGGGCCUGCGGAACUUCCGGUGGAGCAGUGAAAUGCGUAGAUAUCGUGAGGAACACCAGAGGCGAAGGCGGUUACCUGGAAAAUUACUGACGCUCAGGCACGAAAGCAUGGGGAGCAAAAGGG
This 253-nucleotide ribosomal RNA is filed under the name uncultured bacterium. Its description in RNAcentral is "partial 16S ribosomal RNA". It matches the Rfam family "Bacterial small subunit ribosomal RNA", at positions 524 to 776 of the family's 1533-position model. The record is from RNAcentral.